UAACACAUGCAAGUCGAGCGGUAACAGGGGGUGCUUGCACCCCGCUGACGAGCGGCGGACGGGUGAGUAAUGCUUAGGAAUCUGCCCAGUAGUGGGGGACAACAGUCGGAAACGGCUGCUAAUACCGCAUACGCCCUACGGGGGAAAGCAGGGGAUCUUCGGACCUUGCGCUAUUGGAUGAGCCUAAGUCGGAUUAGCUAGUUGGUGGGGUAAAGGCCUACCAAGGCGACGAUCCGUAGCUGGUCUGAGAGGAUGAUCAGCCACAUCGGGACUGAGACACGGCCCGAACUCCUACGGGAGGCAGCAGUGGGGAAUAUUGGACAAUGGGGGCAACCCUGAUCCAGCCAUGCCGCGUGUGUGAAGAAGGCUUUCGGGUUGUAAAGCACUUUCAGCGAGGAGGAAGGCCUUAAAGUUAAUACCUUUAGGGAUUGACGUUACUCGCAGAAGAAGCACCGGCUAACUCCGUGCCAGCAGCCGCGGUAAUAAGGGCGAAUUC
This 496-nucleotide ribosomal RNA is filed under the name uncultured Gammaproteobacteria bacterium. RNAcentral describes it as "bacterial SSU rRNA". It matches the Rfam family "Bacterial small subunit ribosomal RNA", at positions 49 to 536 of the family's 1533-position model. The record is from RNAcentral. Lineage: Bacteria; Pseudomonadati; Pseudomonadota; Gammaproteobacteria.